This 486-nucleotide ribosomal RNA is filed under the name uncultured bacterium. Its description in RNAcentral is "partial 16S ribosomal RNA". It matches the Rfam family "Bacterial small subunit ribosomal RNA", at positions 30 to 507 of the family's 1533-position model. The record is from RNAcentral.
AUUGAACGCUGGCGGCAUGCCUUACACAUGCAAGUCGAACGGCUGAAGGGGUGUUUGCACUUGGUGGAGCGGCGCGCACGUGAGUGUUAUCUAUCGAAAUACGUGCUAGUGUGGGAUAACGUCCGGCAACAGGCGGUAAAAUCGCGCACAUGCUCAGGGGAUGAAAGCGGGAGAUUCUGGGCUCACGCGCUAUGAGGAUCGUAGAUGUCUGAUUAGCUAGUUGGUGGGGUAAAGGUCUACCAAGGCGACGAUCCGUAACUGGUCUGAGAGGAUGACCAGACACACUGGAACUGAGACACGGCCCAGACUCCUACGGGGGGCAGCAGUGGGGAAUAUUGGACAAUGGGCGAAAGCCUGAUCCAGCAAUGCCGCGUGUGUGAAGAAGGUCUUCGGAUUGUAAAGCACUUUAGGCCGGGAGGAAAGGCAGUACGUUAAUACCGUCGUGUUAUGACGGUACCAAAAGAAUAAGCACCGGCUAACUUCGUG